Glossina fuscipes is the source of this 673-nucleotide long non-coding RNA. RefSeq lists it as uncharacterized. NCBI's taxonomy places the organism in Eukaryota, Metazoa, Arthropoda, Insecta, Diptera, Glossinidae. The record is from RefSeq and is a predicted model, not a curated record. The transcript has 3 exons.
UCACCAAACACCAACGCAACUACAACAACAACUUCCUUAACAUCAAGGACAGCACCAAUCACAGAUACCUCCACCACUACAACAGGGUGUGAGUUCAGAUUUCAGCUCAGAAUUUUUACAAAGAAUUAAUGUUAACUAAAGCUAUAGGGCGGAACUAGGAAAGGUACGAAGUUGCAUGCGAAGGUAGCAACCGCAAUUAUUCGCGUAGCGCGCACCAAGCGGCCUAUUAAUAUCAAUCUAUUGUUGUAUGAAAAAAAGGGAAAGUUUGCGCACCGUAUAUAGGAUUUUGCCGUUGCAACCGAAUUCUGAUGGAUUGUAGAAAUUGAAAUUGCAAAAAAUCUAAAAGGAAAAGUGACGCAAUUUUUACUACUAUCACGAGUAUGAGCAUAAUUUUUACCAGCGCAACGUUAUAUAUAAUUCCCGUUAGCAUAUGCAUUUACGUUUUAUAUUCUAUUAUUAUGGUAAGCACCUUAUUACUAAUUUAAUAAACAAUAGCGUAAGCAUUAUUGUUAAUGAUAUUUUAGUAUAUAUGAUAGAUGGUUUUAGUACUUAAAAAAGAGAACACAAGGCUAACACACAAAGGCAAAAAUUCGAUGUUUUGUUUGUUCGUUGUUGUUCGUGAUAUUCUAUGCUUUGAUUUUACCCUUCCAAAAUAUUAUGUACAGUAAGUCAA